Non-coding RNA from Cajanus cajan (pigeon pea), 181 nucleotides. NCBI's taxonomy places the organism in Eukaryota, Viridiplantae, Streptophyta, Magnoliopsida, Fabales, Fabaceae. The record is from RefSeq and is a predicted model, not a curated record.
GGUGGCGAUUUUUCUAGGGGUAACGGCACAGGUGGAGAAAGUAUUUACGGAGGCAAAUUUGCAGAUGAAAAUUUCAAGCUAACACAUGAUGGACCUGGCUUUCUUUCUAUGGCUAAUAGUGGUCCUAACACAAAUGGAUCUCAGUUCUUUAUUACAUUCAAGCGCCAACCUCAUCUUGAUG